ACAACACUGGAGCAAUACCUAGUUAUUUUCAGAGAAAUCAUACUUUUUUGCUACUUGUAGAAAAUGUGGGGUAUUAGGCUACAAAAUGAAACUACUUCACUUUUAGUCAUAAGCAAUAUGUUAAUGAUGUAGCUCAGAACCCAGCAAAAUAAUGUCAAACUAAUCUGCAAUCUGCCCAGAAAAAAUGAAAUGUCAGCCAAUUCUACCAAAUGGCAAAUCGUUUUGCUGUUCAAGUAUAUGGCUUAUAAAUCCGCUGGUUUAGAGUAAGGGGUAAAAGGGAAAGAAAAAUGAAAAGCCUUGAAAAAAAAAACAGCACUGUAAUGGCAAUCUUUUACUCUUCCUGAUUAUCUAAAAUUUUGUUGGUCAUGUUUUAAUCGGCAAGUUUUGUUUUGUUUUCAGUGCUUUUAGAAUGAUUUAGUCACUCAAAGAUUUAAGCUACCAUUUUUCAGGGUCUGUAGAAUAAUAUGCUUCAAAGGAAUUUUUAUAAACAGAGACCAUCUCCCUUGAAUAUUAUUAAGAAUAGCCCUUAUAAAUAAAAUCAUUAAGUGGAAUUUUGUAUGUAAAGUCAUCCAUCUGUGUCAGUGUUCACAAGGAUUUCCACAGAUUGUAUUGGGUGGGGAUCUUUUAAAAGUAAGACCAGCAUAAAAUACAGAUGCCUUUUACAUAUGGUUUAGAUAAUUUGAAUUGACUUCACAAUCACUCAUC
RNAcentral lists this long non-coding RNA (705 nucleotides) under Bos taurus (domestic cattle). RNAcentral describes it as "long non-coding RNA NONBTAT025454". The record is from RNAcentral. Lineage: Eukaryota; Metazoa; Chordata; Mammalia; Artiodactyla; Bovidae.